UGUACCAGGCUAUGAGACUA
Molecule: non-coding RNA, 20 nt
Filed under: Arabidopsis thaliana (thale cress)
Lineage: Eukaryota; Viridiplantae; Streptophyta; Magnoliopsida; Brassicales; Brassicaceae
Source: RNAcentral